GUUACUGUCUUGCUGUGUAUUGUCUAAAACACAUUCGUAAGAGAAUGUAGAUAUACUUCAGUGUCAGUACCCAUUCACUAGGUGCUUUGCCUCCAAGCAGCUCUCUCCUCUCAGGAACGCUGUGAGGUACAGCUAUGAGUCUUGUCUGUAUUUGCCAGGUGAGGAGCCAGGCACUAGAGCCAGAUAGUCUACCCAGAGUCUCAUGGGAAUCAACGGAGGAAAAGGUGACCCAAGGUCAGUUCCUGGCACCCAUGUCAGGCAGCCCAUAACUGUCUGUGACUCAACC
RNAcentral lists this long non-coding RNA (286 nucleotides) under Rattus norvegicus (Norway rat). RNAcentral's name for it is "long non-coding RNA NONRATT003397". Lineage: Eukaryota; Metazoa; Chordata; Mammalia; Rodentia; Muridae. The record is from RNAcentral.